CCUAAGUCCCCAACUCAGUAACCCACUCUACUAACCCUUGCUCCACACAAGACACAACGGCGCAGCUCUCCCUCUUUCUCCCUCAUCCUCAAGCUCGUCCUUCCUCUCACCAUCAGCGAGCUGUCUCCGUCACUUCCAUCCAGCUGCUGGAUUGCUCCGGCCACCGUCGCAAGUUGGAGCCUCAAAGAUUACAGUCGCGAUCGUGCAGCUCUCCACCAUCGUCGCCGUUUUAGUUCUGGAAGGACCGUUGUUGGACUCGCCUCCUGCCUCUGUCAUACACCUCUCUUCCAUCGUCGCUGGCGUCAGCUCGGUUGCAUCGUAAAGCACAAUUGCUGGGCUUGCCUCCUGCUCUGUUCCACCAACCAGCGCUACUCCCCUUGGAUCUGCUCUGCUCUAUUUUAUGCUUCUAGGUUCUAGAUGCAGUAUUGUGUUUCCUGUGCCAUCCACUCUCAUGUCGUGAGGGUGCAUUCUCGCACCGAUAGGAGGAACCGCGAGCCGCCAUAGCCCUUUGCCAGGCGUAGAUUAUACUUGUUUCGCCAUUCUUUUAACUUUUCCAUGAGAUGUUGCUUAUUGAUUCUAAUCAGCGCAAAUUAUUUUUGAUUAUCUUUAGCUAUGUUGAAACAAAUUUUGUUCCUAAACUGUGGAGUAUUGCAGUGCUUGGAUAACUAGUUGGAAAUUGAUAUUAAUGGAAAGAAUUGAGGCUGAUACUAAUCUCCUCUUUUCAUAUAUAGAACGGUCUAUAGAGAACAGAGUGCUACUCUUUCAUAUUCAUUUGAAUAAAUCUCAUUUCUUUAAAUUGUAAUUUACGCAAAUCAUAGUUCUAGAUCUUGCAAUUGCAUAUCUAGAACUUGAUAUUAAUGGAAAGAAUUGAGACUGGUCCUAAUCCACUAAGAAUUGCAUCCCGUCCAUCUUUUAGUUUUAGCUAUAUUCAUAUUUUAGAACUGUGAUCACAAUUUUGCAUUCUUAUAACAUUGUCUUCUUGAGCUUAUUCACUUGAGCAUUUGAAUAGAGUUUUGUGACUUAUGUUCUAGGAAUUGUAAGUGAUGGUUAAGCAAUUUUAUAUGUCUUUUAUGUAC
This is a long non-coding RNA of Arachis duranensis, 1076 nucleotides long. RefSeq lists it as uncharacterized. The transcript has 3 exons. NCBI's taxonomy places the organism in Eukaryota, Viridiplantae, Streptophyta, Magnoliopsida, Fabales, Fabaceae. The record is from RefSeq and is a predicted model, not a curated record.